Molecule: ribosomal RNA, 466 nt
Filed under: uncultured bacterium
Lineage: Bacteria
Description: bacterial SSU rRNA
Rfam family: Bacterial small subunit ribosomal RNA
Source: RNAcentral
GAUGAACGCUGGCGGCGUGCUUAACACAUGCAAGUCGAGCGGAAAUAUGUAAUCGGAGAGCUUCGGCAGGAAGAUUACAUAUUUUAGCGGCGGACGGGUGAGUAACGUGUGGGCAACCUGCCCUGUACUGUGGAAUAAUCACUGGAAACGGUGACUAAUACCGCAUGUCAUUGCGAGAGGGCAUCCUCUUGCAAGAAAAGGAUUUAUUCGGUACAGGAUGGGCCCGCAUCUGAUUAGCUAGUUGGUGAGAUAACAGCCCACCAAGGCAACGAUCAGUAGCCGACCUGAGAGGGUGAUCGGCCACAUUGGGACUGAGACACGGCCCAAACUCCUACGGGAGGCAGCAGUGGGGAAUAUUGCACAAUGGGCGAAAGCCUGAUGCAGCAACGCCGCGUGAAGGAAGAAGGGUUUCGGCUCGUAAACUUCUAUCAACAGGGACGAAAAAAUAGACGGUACCUGAAUAAGA